Arabidopsis thaliana (thale cress) is the source of this 295-nucleotide RNA transcript. RefSeq lists it as uncharacterized. The transcript has a single exon. The record is from RefSeq. NCBI's taxonomy places the organism in Eukaryota, Viridiplantae, Streptophyta, Magnoliopsida, Brassicales, Brassicaceae.
GUUUAAGUCUGAUUGCCUGACCUCUCAAUCCUUCAGUGCAACAGCUUCAGACAGUUCAUGGAAAAGUGUUCUCUUCUAUCUGUCCAAAGGAGAGAUCGAUGGGUUUUCAAUAAUCCGGAAGAUAUGAAAUAAUAUUGAUGUAAACAUCAUAGACAUGUUGAGAACUCUCAAUCUCAGAAUUCUGACAUCUCUUUCCCAACCUCCCCUGCCUGAUACUCCUCCACUCAACUAUGAGCAAAUAGCAGUUGGCUACUCCCCUUCAAUAUGUUCAAUCUUCUAUACAAAGGUUUCUUUA